CUGCAUUGAGCCAUCAUUUUCGAUGACUUCCACUCCUGUCCAAAGUCCUCCCAAAGACUCUGUGAAGUCCAGGGCAACAGAGAAACAUCUUUGCAGGCACCUGUGAACACAUUGUGCCCAACAGGAAAUUCAAGCUCUUCUUCUAUUUUCAAACUAAGGAGUCACUCUCAUAAACAUCGCAGGGGUCGGGGAGGUGGAUGGGAAUUGCUUGACUUUCCUACAAUGCUUGGAGAUUCUUAGAGCUGGAACGUUUCCAUUUUGAUGUUCCCGCCACUCUCCCUCUUAUUUCCUGCAAAGCACCUUAGUCAAUCUUCGGAGUCUCCUUUGCUAGACUAAUAUGGCAGCCGCCAGCCACAUGGAGCUACUGAGCGCUUGAAAUGUGGUUAGUCUUUAUUGAGGUCAGCUGUAAGCGUAAAAUACACACUGGAUCUUGAAGACUUAGUGUGAAAAAAUAAUAUAAGCAAACCCAGGCCAG
RNAcentral lists this long non-coding RNA (475 nucleotides) under Homo sapiens (human). Its description in RNAcentral is "HSALNT0384887". Lineage: Eukaryota; Metazoa; Chordata; Mammalia; Primates; Hominidae. The record is from RNAcentral.